Molecule: long non-coding RNA, 1015 nt
Organism: Cyprinus carpio carpio
Lineage: Eukaryota; Metazoa; Chordata; Actinopteri; Cypriniformes; Cyprinidae
Source: Ensembl
UGACAUUAUAUUUUAUACAAGUUACACUCUAAAAAAUGUUGGGUUAUUUUUUCUACCCAACCGCUGGGUUAAGCCUGUUGGGUCAUUUUAUUGGGUUAUUUUCUCAGUGUUGGGUAGUUUUUAGUGUAACCCAGCCGCUGGGUUACUAGUUGGGUCAAUUUUAGUGACAGUUGACACAGUAAACCCCUCCCCCUCCUCGACGCCUCAACUUUACCUACGCGGGCAUUUUGAAUCACCUCAGGAGUCAAGAGCCAUCGUUUUUCAGUGAGGACAGCUGUUAUUCGGAGAAAAAAGGGUUGGGACCAACAUGGUUGAAUAUUUGAAGGAGGCAGAGCUCACUAAACCCUUUCCCUUUGUCCUUGGUCUUGGGGAUGCCGGUCAAUGCCAUCAAGCCUUUGUAGUUGUUGGCAAACAGACACUGCAUCAAAACACACUCCUUGGUGCUGUGGACACGUGCUUAAAACUUUUUUAUGUUUUAGACAUCCAUUUCCCGCAGCAGUGUGCACCAGUGUGGGAGUUUUUGCAGACUGUUGUCUACAAACUCCCAGGAACUGAAUCUCCUUCUGUAAGACUGCUCCAUGGAUAUUUGUCAUGUUGAGCAGUACUGGAACCAUGACAAUUAACCCUUUCUAAAAUGUUAUGCAAGUUUAUAUUAAGAGGAAAGUUGUCAGACUAAUACAUAUAUCUAAAGCAUUUUACUUGUAUCACAUUUUACUUGUUCAUGUGCCUCUUUGUUAAACAUACUCUCUAAAAAGUUAUGAGUUUAUAUGAAGGGGAAAGUCAUCUAACUAAUAUAUAUGAAGCAUUGUACUUGUGUCUUAUACUUGUGUAUAUAAUGUAAAUGUUUAAAUCUAAGCUAAUUUAAUUUAUUGAUAUUUAUUUUUUUAUAUUUAUAAAAUGGAAGUUGUAUUUAUAUUUUAUAUGCUGUUUUAUUGUUCAUUGAACAUGAAAAAAUAUCAUGCUUUUUUGCUAUAUGAAUUAUAUAUUUAUGUCUUGCAUUUGGAUGUUCUUUUUU